CAGCCGCCGCGGGAAUACAGAGGGUGCGAGCGUUAAUCGGAUUUACUGGGCGUAAAGCGUGCGUAGGCGGCUUCUUAAGUCGGAUGUGAAAUCCCUGAGCUUAACUUAGGAAUUGCAUUCGAUACUGGGAAGCUAGAGUAUGGGAGAGGAUGGUAGAAUUCCAGGUGUAGCGGUGAAAUGCGUAGAGAUCUGGAGGAAUACCGAUGGCGAAGGCAGCCAUCUGGCCUAAUACUGACGCUGAGGUACGAAAGCAUGGGGAGCGAACAGGAUUAGAGACCCCAGUAGUCCCUGUCUCUUAUAC
Molecule: ribosomal RNA, 301 nt
Filed under: uncultured bacterium
Lineage: Bacteria
Description: partial 16S ribosomal RNA
Rfam family: Bacterial small subunit ribosomal RNA
Source: RNAcentral